Molecule: long non-coding RNA, 1744 nt
Filed under: Equus caballus (horse)
Lineage: Eukaryota; Metazoa; Chordata; Mammalia; Perissodactyla; Equidae
Description: lncRNA (ENSECAG00000043890.1)
Source: RNAcentral
GACUCACUGACCACCCUCCUUCUCCACCCACAGGUGAAGCGCAGGAACUGCGGGGCCUUUGGGCACAUGGCCAGCAGCAGGGGGUGCCCCGUGAAGUGCUGGAGUGGGGCCCUUGUGCUGCAGCCUUUAGGCUCCAAUAAGAAGGAGAACCAGGAACCCAUGAGCACCAGGACCUGGAGACUCCAGGGUCCUUGAACCAGCCUGACAGAGAGAUGGAACCAAGACAGAGGUGAGGAAUCACAAGCUCUGAACGAUGCUCGGGCAACGGAACCCCAGGAGAUUGUGUCUCCCCCUCUACUCUUCCUGCACAGCCACCUCAGGCGCAGACAGGAAGACUCAAGAGAAGCAGACAGAGCUCCGUGCCUUCCAGGGGCUAGCCCUCAGAGCUCACUCUAGCCCUGAGAAUCGCGGAGGGGGAAGGGCCAGGGCGUAUCUUGGGAUGUGGCUUAUGGCUGACGGAGAAGCAGCAGAAUCUAAAGGAGAGCACUUCAUGCUGAAACCACGCAGAAGAAAGUUCUACCACAGAAAUUUCCUGAGACCCCAAGAGAAGAAGCUGAGUCCCUGGAGAGAAUCCACAGAAAUCCUGUCCCUCUCUGAGGCAUCCCACCAGGUCAGUGCCUCUCCAAACAACCCAAAAGAGAUCUGUCCUGCGCCCUGUUCUCACAGGUCAGCCACCUGUCAAGACACUCGAUAUGAGGUCCUUGUACACUACACCGUUUCUCAAGAAAGCACCUGAACUGAGUACUUGUGGACCAGCCCAAAGACAUGAGGUGACCUUCACUGACUCAUCCCACCAAGCUCUAAAGGGCUCCUGCCAGGACCCACCUCUCAUUGCCAAGUCGACAGCCAGCAGGCCUGAUGUUCUCCCACUUUGUUCCCCAGUCUACCAGGAAGACACUUGCCCUGGGUCGUGUCUGUAACCCCCAGGCACAAGUCCAAUGUCCUUAUGUGGACUCAAAACCUAGCUCACAGACUGCCACACAAAAAUGUGGCACGAACUCUAAGUUCAGCAUCUAGGCUGGGGGCAGGAGGUCUUCCCAGGUCCCAGUCUAGACUGGCCAGAACCCCCCCCCCCAAAAUAAGAUUCAGCAUUUUUAAACCCCAGCUGAGUUCUCAGUGACCUCGUCUGGAGGCUGUCCAGGCUUUUCAGCUUCCCCCCAGCACAACUGGACUCGGAUCCAAACAGACACCCCAAGUGACCAGGAAGACAACAGCCCUGAUGCCCAGCUUUGACCUCCAGGCUCCACUCAACUCCCCAACUCACCUCACCUGAGCCCAGUCCAGACAGUACUGUCUCCCAGCCCCCAGGAGGCAUGUUAUAAGCUGGCACAGUCUUCAUGAGUUGGGACAAGGAAUGACAGAGUUCCAGGUUCUCAACCACUCCUACCUCCCUCCCUCCAGAGAAGUCUACACCUGCAGCCAGAGCCCUCACAUCUUAGAGAAUUCUGAGGGACAGAUUCCCAUGUCCCAGCAAGUGUCUUCUAUGAGGACCUUCUGAUCUUAUUCUCACUCCAGGAGAGUGACUGUGAGUGGGAACCUCCGCCCCUCCCAUGGAGAGAAGACGGUGCCUCAAGUCUCACACGACUGAGAAGACAGUGAGAGACUGAGGAGGGGAAAGAGGCAAGAGCAGCUGUGUCUGGUGAAUCAGAGCUUCCCCAGGUGGGGCCUGUGCAAAUGCUGGAACUCCAGAUAAUACUGGGGAUCAAUGAACAGACACUACCUUUAAAUUUUGUAAAUUUAUUUA